This 27-nucleotide non-coding RNA is filed under the name Rattus norvegicus (Norway rat). The record is from RNAcentral. Lineage: Eukaryota; Metazoa; Chordata; Mammalia; Rodentia; Muridae.
UGGAUUAAAAUUCCUCUACACUAGUGU